RNAcentral lists this ribosomal RNA (968 nucleotides) under Melanelixia fuliginosa. RNAcentral's name for it is "SSU rRNA". It matches the Rfam family "Bacterial small subunit ribosomal RNA", at positions 356 to 1174 of the family's 1533-position model. Lineage: Eukaryota; Fungi; Ascomycota; Lecanoromycetes; Lecanorales; Parmeliaceae. The record is from RNAcentral.
GAGGAAUGUAUAGCAAUAGCUACUUGCAUCAUCUCAAUGAUGAUGCAAGAUCGACUAUGUCGAAUAAAAUUCUAGGUAGAAUUAUGAUAAUGACAUUGUCUGCCUAUGUGUCUUGACCAAAUUACGUGCCAGCAGUCGCGGUAAUACGUAGAAGACUAGUGUUAUUCAUGUUUAAUCGGUUUAAAGGGUACCUAGACGGCAGAUCAAGCUUUCGAUGAAAUAAAAUUAAAGGAAAAGGACUAAUUUGCUAGAGUUACUUAUGAGGGGGUAUUAAAGUACUGCUGGUGUAGAGAUGAAAUUCUGUCAUACCUCUCUUCAAAAGAAGAAUGAUGGCACAGGUAUAGGCGAAGGCAUCCCCUUAUGUGAUAACUGACGUUGAGGGACGAAGGCUUUGUGUAGCGAACAGGAUUAGAUACCCCAGUAGUCGAAGCAGAAAAUGAUGAAUGUCAUAGAUUAGAUAUAAGUUUAUUCUAUAAAUGAAAGUGUAAGCAUUCCACCUCAAGAGUAAUUUGGCAACAUUGGAACUGAAAUCAUUAGACCGUUUCUGAAACCAGUAGUGAAGUAUGUUGUUUAAUUUGAUGAUCCGCAAAAAACCUUACCACAAUUUGAAUAUUUAUAUUUUUUUUUAUUGUUUCCUUAUUAAUUUUCUUCUAAUAACAACCCAGACCUGCAAACGAUGCAAAAAAUUGUAUAAAUUAAGAGCCCGAAUGGUUCGCCCGUAUGGUACCCCCUAAUGGUACCAAAUACGUUAUUGGUACGGGCGAAUGGCACGCCUGAAUGGUACGCCCGAAUGAUACUAAUAAUUAAGGAUUAGAAGCAAUCUAAUUAAGAAGCAAUAAGAUAUAUUUACAAGCGUUGCACGGCUGUCUUCAGUUAAUGUCGCGAGACUUUGGUUAGUUCCAUUAAAUUAACGUAAACCCUUACUUUAUUUUUUAUAUAGAGUAGUUCCCCGCUAUAUUGGAUAUGAU